ACGGAGGAUGCGAGCGUUAUCCGGAAUCACUGGGUUUAAAGGGUGCGUAGGCGGGAAAAUAAGUCAGGGGUGAAAUCUGGUCGCUUAACGAUCAAAUUGCCUCUGAAACUGUUUUUCUUGAAAUAUGAUGAGGCUGGCAGAAUGUGACAUGUAGCGGUGAAAUGCAUAGAUAUGUCAUAGAAUACCAAUUGCGAAGGCAGCUGGCUGGUCAUUAUUUGACGCUGAGGCACGAAAGCGUGGGGAGCGAACAGG
Molecule: ribosomal RNA, 252 nt
Filed under: uncultured bacterium
Lineage: Bacteria
Description: partial 16S ribosomal RNA
Rfam family: Bacterial small subunit ribosomal RNA
Source: RNAcentral